UGCUUGUCUCAAAGAUUAAGCCAUGCAUGUCUAAGUCCAAGCUGUGUUCACACGGCGAGACCGCGGACGGCUCAUUAAAUCAGUCGUGGUCCAAAUGGGCCAGUGCAAAUCCUACUUGGAUAACUGUGGUAAUUCCAGAGCUAAUACAUGCAACUGAUAUCCCGAAGGCGGUGUUGGGGCUUGCUUGCCUUGCGCUGCGCUGCUCUGACGGAUGCUUUUAUUAGACCAAGCCGCUGAGGACUUGAGGGUUCGCGCUCUCUUGUUUGACUCGUGUGAUGGUGACUCUGGAUAACCAAAUUCUGACAAGCGCACGUACUUCUCUUCUGAGCGAGACGGCGCUGCCACUUUCGAGUGUCUGCCUUAUCAGCUAUCAACCGUUCGUUAUGCGCGACCGAUGGCUUUGACGGGUAACGGGGAAUCAGGGUUCGAUUCCGGAGAGGCAGCCUGAGAGACGGCUACCACGUCCAAGGACGGCAGCAGGCACGCAAAUUACCCAAUCCCAGCAAAUGGGGGAGGUAGUGACGAAAUCUAACGAUGCGGGCGCCCUUUCUGGGGCCCCGCAAUCGGAAUGGGCACUUUCUAAACAACCUGUUGAGAAC
This 599-nucleotide ribosomal RNA is filed under the name Eulimnogammarus verrucosus. RNAcentral describes it as "SSU rRNA". It matches the Rfam family "Eukaryotic small subunit ribosomal RNA", at positions 29 to 544 of the family's 1831-position model. The record is from RNAcentral. Lineage: Eukaryota; Metazoa; Arthropoda; Malacostraca; Amphipoda; Eulimnogammaridae.